This 63-nucleotide transfer RNA is filed under the name Japananus hyalinus. RNAcentral's name for it is "tRNA-His". Lineage: Eukaryota; Metazoa; Arthropoda; Insecta; Hemiptera; Cicadellidae. The record is from RNAcentral.
AUUUAGGUAGUUUAAUAAAAAUAUAGGAUUGUGGAUUCUAUGAAACUGUUUUAGUUCUAAGUU